GACGAACGCUGGCGGCGUGCUUAACACAUGCAAGUCGAACGGAAAGGCCCUGCUUUUGUGGGGUGCUCGAGUGGCGAACGGGUGAGUAACACGUGAGUAACCUGCCCUUGACUUUGGGGUAACUUCAGGAAACUGGGGCUAAUACCGGAUAGGAGCUCCUGCUGCAUGGUGGUGGUUGGAAAGUUUCGGCGGUUGGGGAUGGACUCGCGGCUUAUCAGCUUGUUGGUGGGGUAGUGGCUUACCAAGGCUUUGACGGGUAGCCGGCCUGAGAGGGUGACCGGCCACAUUGGGACUGAGAUACGGCCCAGACUCCUACGGGAGGCAGCAGUGGGGAAUAUUGCACAAUGGGCGGAAGCCUGAUGCAGCAACGCCGCGUGCGGGAUGACGGCCUUCGGGUUGUAAACCGCUUUCGCCUGUGACGAAGCGUGAGUGACGGUAAUGGGUAAAGAAGCACCGGCUAACUACGUG
RNAcentral lists this ribosomal RNA (468 nucleotides) under uncultured bacterium. Its description in RNAcentral is "partial 16S ribosomal RNA". It matches the Rfam family "Bacterial small subunit ribosomal RNA", at positions 28 to 507 of the family's 1533-position model. The record is from RNAcentral.